This 508-nucleotide ribosomal RNA is filed under the name uncultured Candida. RNAcentral's name for it is "eukaryotic LSU rRNA". It matches the Rfam family "Eukaryotic large subunit ribosomal RNA", at positions 62 to 593 of the family's 3401-position model. The record is from RNAcentral. Lineage: Eukaryota; Fungi; Ascomycota; Saccharomycetes; Saccharomycetales.
AAACCAACAGGGAUUGCCUCAGUAGCGGCGAGUGAAGCGGCAAAAGCUCCAUUUUGAAAGCUCUUCGGAGCGUUGUAGAUUGGUGGGAAGCUAACGGCUGGUGGGAGACCAAGUCCUCUGGAACGAGGCGCCAUAGAGGGUGAGAGCCCCGUGUGUCUCCUUUACCGACCUUUCAGCCCCUCCGCGGAGUCGAGUUGUUUGGGAAUGCAGCUCUAAGUGGGUGGUAAAUUCCAUCUAAGGCUAAAUAUUGGCGAGAGACCGAUAGCGAACAAGUACAGUGAUGGAAAGAUGAAAAGCACUUUGAAAAGAGAGUGAAACAGUACGUGAAAUUGUUGAAAGGGAGGGUAUUUGGCCGACAUGGGUCCUAUGCACCGUUUGCCUCUCGUGGGCGGCGCUCUGCUUGGGCCUGGGCCAGCGUCAGUUUGAGGGGGUCGAGAAGGUUUUGGGAGUUGCCUAGGCAAUUCCCCUUUGCUAGAUUGCCCCCAGACCGGACUUGAGGACCGCCGAU